This 253-nucleotide ribosomal RNA is filed under the name uncultured bacterium. RNAcentral describes it as "partial 16S ribosomal RNA". It matches the Rfam family "Bacterial small subunit ribosomal RNA", at positions 524 to 776 of the family's 1533-position model. The record is from RNAcentral.
GACGUAGGGGGCGAGCGUUGUCCGGAUUCAUUGGGCGUAAAGCGCGCGUAGGCGGCUACGCAAGUCGGGUGUGAAAAUCCGGGGCUCAACCCCGGACCUGCACCCGAAACUGCGUGGCUAGAGGUAGGUAGGGGAGAUCGGAAUUCCUGGUGUAGCGGUGGAAUGCGCAGAUAUCAGGAGGAACACCGGUGGCGAAGGCGGAUCUCUGGGCCUUACCUGACGCUGAGGUGCGAAAGCUAGGGGAGCGAACAGG